This 3817-nucleotide ribosomal RNA is filed under the name Triticum aestivum (bread wheat). Its description in RNAcentral is "partial small subunit ribosomal RNA". The record is from RNAcentral. Lineage: Eukaryota; Viridiplantae; Streptophyta; Magnoliopsida; Poales; Poaceae.
GUCCGUUUGAGGCCGCGCGUUGGGCCCGCUAUUCAUCUGUUUUACCCCAAAUGGACGCACCCGGACAAAAUGGAGUCGCGCGGUGGAGUUGGCCUUAGAAGGAUCAGGCCGAUACCGGGUGAGCACUGCGCAGUGGUGUUGUUUCUGUGAGAAAGGGCAACCAAAGUCUAGUAAGCAUUGCGUGAACGCGAAGGAUGCCGAGACAGGCCAGUUCUUUUGGUAGCUUAAAAAAUAAGUCGCCUCCUCCGCAGCUUAUCCCAUAAGCCACCUCUCUUAUUAAUUGGGGCUUCUAAACUAGUUAUGGGAUAACUAAUUUAGAAGUCCCAACAAAUUUUAUGAGCGGCUUAUUUUUUAAGCUGGGGAGAGGCAGCUUAUUUUUUAAGCCGCCCAAAAAAACUGGCCUCCAUGACCAAGGUCUCUUUUUUAAACUCCUUUCUCUUCUUUAAACAUCAACUAUACAAAGCUUUGAAAAGAAUGAGAUGAGUAGACGAUGAGACGCCGUAGACGGACCUGGAAAGGAAAGGCUGAGAAGAAGCUAGCAGCGGCGCCGUCGCUGUGUUGGUACGUGUGCCGCGUUGCGUCUCGCGCUCGCUUCCACGCUGAUGACGCAUUAAUGGCAGCUGUGCAAAAGAUGAGGCGUGGGCGCAAGCAGUGGUGGCCACUGUGUGGCGCGGCAGCGUGACGGAGCCACCGCAACCGACGAUCGAGCUGUACGCAAUCCAGGGUAGUAGCGCCCAACGUAGAGAAGUGAAACUUGUGGCGUCCUGCUUUAUUGCACCCUUCGUUUUUCUCCUAUCUUUAUCUUUACCUAAUAAUAAAGAGAAUGGCCAGUACUCUGCGCCGGCGCACCGGCUUAAAUUUGGGCCGGUCGGCCCGCAGUUGUCCGAUAUGCCUGCUAACAACCGUUCGAUUAAAAGGCUAAUCUUCGUCCUCGUUAACCACUCGCCCGCAGAAAAAAAAGAAAAGUCAACCGACACCGCGCGACGCCCCGGCCUCGAAACACCACCCGCACGUUCUUCGGCCGUCGCUCCCCUCGACGUCGGUCGCCUUCGCUUCCCUCGUCGCUGGUCGCCGUCGUCGCUGUCGGUUGGGGUCGUCGGCUUCGCGCAUGUAGCAGCCUGCUUCCUAUGGUUGCAGCUCCUCAUGGCGACGGCCGCAGCUCCGAUGCGGCAGCUGCAGUCCAAUGGCAGCCGGCCAUCCUCGUCGCCGGUUACAGAAUCAAAAUGGAACAACCGCGUAGCAUACAACCAAAAAAAGUGGUGGUGGCAAAAAUCAGUGCCGAUUCCAGCAAAACAAACAUACUGUGGAAGCAAAAAAAAAUGGGACCCCGGCUCCGGCAAAAAACUCGCACGGGAGAUGGAACCAAGAAAAUACGAGCCGCCGGUUCCAGCAAAAACAUCAUAUGGUGAAAGCAAAAUCACACACUGGUUGUAGCAAAAAUCAAGAUGGUGGUAGCAAAGAAUGGGUUGUUUCCAGCAAAAUUCGAAGACGGUAGUAGCAAAAAAUGGGGUUGGUUGUAGCAAAAUACAAACUGGUUGCAGCACUACCGUCGGGCCAUGGUCACCACCAUCAGGCCGUGGUCACCACCGCCGUGGUAUGGCCCCACUGGUUGUAGCAAAUCCCGUUGCCGGUGGUAGCUUUCCCGGUGCCGGCUGCAGCAAAAUCGCAGCACCGACGUCGCCGCCACAAAUCACCGUCGCCUCCCUUGUAACAAAUCCGGCCAUCGGUUGUAGCAUGGCCGGUUACUGGUUGUAGCACGCCGUGCAGCCGCGGAGCUGCGAGUACGCCCUGACCGUGGCCGGAGAUGGACGAGAAGGGAAGUGGUGGACAACCAUCGUCAGUCUGCGUCCGUCAUCGCUGACUUGGUUCCCCACAGCAGUUCCUGGGGUGCGCGUGGGCCUGGGCAGCAGCAAUUUCAUGGGGCGGUGGCCAUGACCCGCGUGAGCCGGCCGGAGAUGCGAGACGGUGAGAUAGAGAUGUGGGGGAUUGGUGGCUGGGGUGCUCCAAGUGAGGAUAAGGAAGAAGAAUGAGCGGUUGGUGGGCCUUACUGGUUACGUGGCUUGUACUAGAGACAUGCGCGUAGCGCGCGAGCCAGCGCGACCGGCCGAAAGCUUCGGCCGGUCUGCCGGCACUAAACGUUUCCCAAAGAGAAUUGGGUUUCUGUUCGUACGUCAUGCUUUCUUGCAAAAAAGCCCUUGCAGUUUUCUGAAAUCAACCCGCAGUACUACAGGAAUCAAGUAAAAAAAACUCUCGUUGGUACGAUUCCUCGCUCCAGACCGAGGCCACCGCCGGCGCCCUGCCCGGCCUCGCCGCCCCCGCGCGCGCCUGCCGCCCCGCGUUCCAUUGGCCCACGCUCGCCCAACUCUGCUCGCGCCGCCGCCGGCCACGCCCUCGCCGGCCUCCAUGCCCGGCCUCGCCUGCGGUGUCGUGGCCUUGCAGGGCCUCGCCUGCGCCACUGCAGCCCUGCCCAGCCUGGCUCGGGUCCUUUCCCGGCCGCGCGCGCACCCGCCGCGCCGACCCGUGGUCGCAGGGCUACAAGGAGGUGCUCGCCGACACUUGGCGGGGGGCCUGGAGGAGCGGCGGAGCUCGGCAAGGUAGGCAGCGGGAGGAAGGUGGCGCAGCUCGGUGCGGUCUGGACAAGCUCGACGAGAGGAAGCAGAUGGGAGGCCGGAGGGAGAGAGAACGAAGCGGUGAGGUGCGGCGGUGGUCCUGCUACUGCUCGCUGGUGGCUCACCGGCCAUCGGCGCGAGGUGGGAUCGGGUGCGCAGAGGCGUCUGGGAUCGAGGGAGCUCUCCUCCCUCACGACUGGAGGCGCUUGGGGAUACGCGAAUGGGAGGGGAUCGAGCUCCCAGGUGGUGGCGACUGCACGAGUUGCUAAAAAAUAGGUAAGGUGGGGCUUGGUGGGGGAGGGAAGGAGGGGGCGGCUCAGCCAUGGCAGCAAGCUACCGGAGAGAUGGGGUCGGAGGAGCUGGCCAUGGAUAGGCCAGCGGCAGAGCGACGGGGCUCGACCAAAGCGAGCGCACCCAUCCCGUCAGAGGCCAAGAGCAGGGAAAGGAAGCAGCAGGCUCCCCUGCACCGCCCUACUACAACGCGGCCUCACCACCAUGCGUCGGCACACCUCCAGCUCAGCACGACACUGUCGAAGCUGCUGCUGCCUUCACCCAGGUCGUACACCUUGCGGCCGCGCACUCGAAGGCAGGAGAGGGAGCCGCCAUAGUAGGGAGGGGGGAGGUGUGGCGGAGGGGUAGGAAGAAGAGGGGAAGAAGGCUGUUGCUGCCUUCGCCCUGGCCGGACACCUCGCGGACGCGCACUCCUCGUGGAGUCGUGGUGGCGACUGAGGGAGCCGCCAUGGCACAAGGAGGAGGGAGGUGUGGCAGAGGGGUAGGAGAAAGAGGGGAAGAAGAGGAAGGGAGAGCAGGAGUGGUGGAGGAGCAAGGCAACGAAGGAGCGCCAUUAAUUCGAAGCAGAGAGAGAUGCGAGUCGGGUGGGUGGGUGAGAGAGAGAUCCAGAUGGAUGGGACGGAGGCAGCAGCGAGCUAGCGACGGGUUUGGUGGCAGCAACGAGCCAGCGACUGUGCUGACUCAUGGCUGUGCGUGUUGUAUGCGUGGCUGGCAUGCGGAGGCGCCGGAGGCAUUGUCCAGUCAAUGUGGUGUGUGACAUGUGUUGUGUGUGUGUUGUAUGUGGUGUGUGACGUCUAGAUUAUUAGCCGUCUGCGUGCGUGCCGUGCGUCUCCGGCGCGGCGUCCGUUCGGCAUAGGAAGACGGCAAAUCGCUGGCUGUAACUUUGAAUAUGAUCCAAAGAAAAGCAUAUAUCACAG